UGAAUUGAUGAUGAAACCGAGUCAUUUUGCACUUGUUCAGAUGCAUUUUGCCUUGUCAAAGAGAAUGCACAUGUGCAGGUGGUCCCAAAUUGAACAUGGCAUGAAAUUCGUGACCUGAAAUUUGCGCAAGAAGCAGAGUCCAUGGUACCAUGUUGGAGCUUAGGCCAAAUGAAAUGCACUCGGGCAUUUUGAGAUAUUCUUCGUGCCAAAUGAUCUCUUCAUGAUGAAGAAUCAGAUGAAAAAAGA
This 246-nucleotide long non-coding RNA is filed under the name Lathyrus oleraceus (garden pea). Its description in RNAcentral is "Pisum sativum (pea) long non-coding RNA (PSAT_LNC012743)". The record is from RNAcentral. Lineage: Eukaryota; Viridiplantae; Streptophyta; Magnoliopsida; Fabales; Fabaceae.